This is a long non-coding RNA of Cavia porcellus (domestic guinea pig), 2336 nucleotides long. RefSeq lists it as uncharacterized. The transcript has 2 exons. Lineage: Eukaryota; Metazoa; Chordata; Mammalia; Rodentia; Caviidae. The record is from RefSeq and is a predicted model, not a curated record.
AGGAGGAAAUAGAAGCAUGGCGGCCAGAGGAGGUGUGCCGGCAGGGCGCGCAUGAACGGAGCCGGCGCAGUGCUUGUUUCCAGCCCUGGACCGCGCCGAGAAGAGAGACGCAGAGCACAGUAAAUCGGGUGGUGCCAGCACCCCUGAGCCAUUUCUGCACCCCGGGCACCGUGAGCUGGCUUUCCCCGGGGACGCGUGGCCAGGUCUUCCGUGGGCCCCUCCGUCGGAGGCAGCCAAGGCACACCCGCGCGGACUGCAGGAACAGGCGUCCCCCGCGGGGCGCUGGUGUGGCCUUACACAGCCGUGGGCACAGCCAAACCACGUUACAGGCUUUCCUACCGUGGCGAUUUUGAGAGGAAAUUCAUGUAAUCCUGGCGAUUUAAGCAUUAAGGUUUCAGACCUCUGAUGGACCCAAGAAAAACACACACGUUUUCCAACAAUUUCAAAACUAAUCACCCUAACCCCAAAGCACGUUAGACUUGUUUCUUGAAUCUGUGGCUCCCUUCCGAACCAGAGCUUUUGGGGUGUCGCAGUAGAGGGGCCGGGUGGGGCGCCUUCCCCUCCUCAGCUUGGACACCGGUGUCAGCCCAUUGGGGUCACCAAGGUGCCCAGCUGCCUGAGGGAAGAGGCCUGGUUUUGCCUGGUACACAGUAGAUGAUGGAGUGGGUGGAUGCAAGGCAGGAGGCUUCCUUUAUUUUUUCAACGUGUUUGUAAUUUUAAAAAAUAAAGGGGACAUGUAGCCUGUGGGCCCAGGGUGGACACACUGAGAAGCAGCAUGAAUCUCCAGGUUUGGAUGCCUGAGCCACCCUUCAGGACAACAGCCUUGGAGAGGCCACAUCUCCUGUUCCCUAGAAACAAGCCCCUCUCCCCCCGCAGCGUCUGCCUAGGAGUCUGCUUCUGUCCUAAGAUGCUCUGAGGCUCAGCCCUACGCUGGGGCGCUGACCCUUAUCAAGCGACAGUUUGGAUGCCCGGCCACCCAGUCCCUGCUCCCCACUUAGGGAGUCUCGAGAGUACCUGGCUUCUGAGCGCGUAGAUCACAGACUGGUGAGCCAGGUGUCGGGAAGGGUCUGGGGCAGUGCGGCCGGGACUCUUAUUUCCUCUGUAGGUACAGAGGCUGUGCCGAGCCACGCCAAGAAGUCACAGGGGUGGGACACUGCUGCAGAUGGCCAGAGGCCUGCAGCUGUCACUAGGUGUUGUAGUUAGGGGUAGUACAGAGAACAGUUAGACUCAAGACUCAGAAUUUAUAAUAUAUUUUAUGAUGUCACCCAGAGUUAAAUAUAAGAAAGUGAAGGAAAUCUGUCUACAACACUAAAGACAUAGAAUAUUCAGCGAAGGGCCUGGAUCCCACAGCAAUGUCCUGCAUGAGUCCAGCUGAAGACCCAGCGCCCAUGACAGUGCCUCCCACGAGUCCAACUGGAGGUCAAGAGCCCACGAGAAGGACUCACACCAGUCUGUUUUACAGAUCCGCACUGGGAAGGCCCAGAGGUCAAGUGAUGGAAGCUAGGAAGUCUAUGCCAGCAGGAUGAAGGAGCUGUGCUGGUGGGAUGAGGGUUCUGCACUGGAGCCGAGAAGUCACACUCAAAAUAAGUCCCAGGGCUGCCCUGAAAAGCACCACAGCCAUCCUCAGAGACAUGGAGGUCCCAAGCUCCUCUCAUAAGAACAGUCAAGUGCAUGCCAGGAAGCCAGCAUGACGAGCUUCUCCUGGAGAUGAAACGGCACAGGUCUUCCCCUCAGAGCCAGAAGCGAUGGUCAGUGUGAGGACCGGAGCUGCCCCAAAGUGAACCACAGCCACUCUCACCAAAGUUCCAAACUCCUCCAGUGACAAUGGUGGAACUCACACUGGGGAAGCCAGCAUGACGAGCUCCUCCAGUAGAACCAACAGCUCAAACGGCAACACUCGGAGAAACCCUCCACGCCUGGCCUUUCCUUCUCCACAUCUCCAUGCUGGCAGCUUUCCUCAGGUGGCCAUCUACACCCAGCACCAUGCUCAUUUAAUUCAGCUGGCGUUAAGUUGACCACCAGUUUUUAAUCCAUAACGCCAGGCACUGUCACCUGGCCAGGGCAGGGUCAGCCUCCCACACCUCUGGGGUCCAGUGUAUUCUGGGAAAUGUAGUUCUGGGCUUCCAGCCACUGCCCAGGAGGGACAGGGCCGGUGCCCAUCCUUUACAGCACGAGCUUGAUCACUGAGGUUUUAAAAUCUACCGUCACACUAGCUGGCAAUGCCCCUUUCAGAUGCUCAGAUGUGGCACGGAAGUUUAUCAUUAUUACAAAUUGUUACUUUAUUGGUACUGGAAGGUGUUGUAGUCAAAGAUGCUGAAAACCUGAUUUUGAGAAUG